UUAAGCAUAUCAAUAAGCGGAGGAAAAGAAACUAACAAGGAUUCCCUUAGUAACGGCGAGUGAACCGGGAAAAGCUCAAAUUUGUAAUCUGGCUGUCUUCGAUAGUCCGAGUUGUAAUCUAUAGACGUGUUUUCCGUGCUGGACCGUAUCUAAGUCCCUUGGAACGGGGUAUCAAAGAGGGAGACAAUCCCGUGCUUGAUACGACCACCAGUGCUCUGUGAUACACGCUCUACGAGUCGAGUUGUUUGGGAAUGCAGCUCAAAAUGGGUGGUAAAUUCCAUCUAAAGCUAAAUAUUGGCGAGAGACCGAUAGCGAACAAGUACCGUGAGGGAAAGAUGAAAAGCACUUUGGAAAGAGAGUUAAACAGUACGUGAAAUUGUUGAAAGGGAAACGAUUGAAGUCAGUCGUGUUCUUUGGAUUCAGCUAGUUCUUCUAGUCUACUUCCUUUGAACGGGUCAACAUCAGUUUUGUCCGGUGGAUAAAGAUAGUAGGAAUGUAGCUCCCUCGGGAGUGUUAUAGACUAUUAUUGCAUGCACUGGGUGAGACUGAGGACUGCAGCUCGCCUUUUGGCCGGCCUUCAGGGUACGUUCGAGCUUAGGAUGUGAACAUCAUGGCUUUAAACGACCCGUCUG
Molecule: ribosomal RNA, 632 nt
Filed under: Cutaneotrichosporon moniliiforme
Lineage: Eukaryota; Fungi; Basidiomycota; Tremellomycetes; Trichosporonales; Trichosporonaceae
Description: LSU rRNA
Rfam family: Eukaryotic large subunit ribosomal RNA
Source: RNAcentral